Oryzias melastigma (Indian medaka) is the source of this 352-nucleotide long non-coding RNA. RefSeq lists it as uncharacterized. The record is from RefSeq and is a predicted model, not a curated record. Lineage: Eukaryota; Metazoa; Chordata; Actinopteri; Beloniformes; Adrianichthyidae. The transcript has 3 exons.
GGGGGAAAGAAAAUGAAAGCAGACGACAAUCGAGCAGGUUCUCCGUCUGACACUGAACUCUCGGACAAAGAGGGAAAACUCAUUCUGGUGUUAAAGUGGUCUGAUUCAGUGAAAAGAGACCCACACCAUCUGGAGAAAUCUAUUAAACCAUGGUUAAAAAAAGAGAAACAAGACUUAAAGUGGUCAGUUAUCAAGAUCCUGGAGGACAACAAUGCUCUGAUAAAGUUUAAACCCCACACAGCUGCAGAUAUUUUUCAGAGAUUAUGUGGUAAAAAACUGCAUCUUCCCGGUAUGAAACCAGUCACUGUAGAGUCAGUCAUUCUGGACUCACCAAAGCUCAACACUCAAACAU